RNAcentral lists this ribosomal RNA (459 nucleotides) under uncultured bacterium. RNAcentral's name for it is "SSU rRNA". It matches the Rfam family "Bacterial small subunit ribosomal RNA", at positions 26 to 518 of the family's 1533-position model. The record is from RNAcentral.
AGAAUCAACGCUGGCGGCGUGCCUAACACAUGCAAGUCGAACGAGAAAGUGGAGCAAUCCACAAGUAAAGUGGCGCACGGGUGAGUAACACGUGACUAACCUACCCUUGAGUGGGGGAUAACCUAGAGAAAUCUGGGCUAAUACCGCAUAAUACCUUCGGGUCAAAGGAGCAAUUCGCUUAAGGAGGGGGUCGCGGCCGAUUAGUUAGUUGGCGGGGGUAAUGGCCCACCAAGACUAUGAUCGGUAUCCGGCCUGAGAGGGCGCACGGACACACUGGAACUGAAACACGGUCCAGACUCCUACGGGAGGCAGCAGUGGGGAAUUUGCGCAAUGGGGGAAACCCUGACGCAGCAACGCCGCGUGGAGGAUGAAGUCCCUUGGGACGUAAACUCCUUUCGAUCGGGACGAUAAUGACGGUACCGAGAGAAGAGCCCCGGCUAACUUCGUGCCAGCAGCCGC